UACGUAGGGAGCGAGCGUUGUCCGGAAUCAUUGGGCGUAAAGAGCAUGUAGGUGGAUCAAUUAGUCUGCUGUGAAAGUCAAAGGCUCAACCUUUGAAAGCCGGUGGAUACUGUUGAUCUAGAGUACGGAAGAGGCGAGUGGAAUUCCUGGUGUAGCGGUGGAAUGCGCAGAUAUCAGGAGGAACACCAAUUGCGAAGGCAGCUCGCUGGGACGUAACUGACGCUGAGACGCGAAAGCGUGGGGAGCAAACAGG
This 253-nucleotide ribosomal RNA is filed under the name uncultured bacterium. Its description in RNAcentral is "partial 16S ribosomal RNA". It matches the Rfam family "Bacterial small subunit ribosomal RNA", at positions 524 to 776 of the family's 1533-position model. The record is from RNAcentral.